Molecule: long non-coding RNA, 1195 nt
Organism: Hemibagrus wyckioides
Lineage: Eukaryota; Metazoa; Chordata; Actinopteri; Siluriformes; Bagridae
Exons: 3
Source: RefSeq, a predicted model, not a curated record
UCUCUCCCUCUCUCUCUCUCUCUGCAUCUACCCCUCUCUGUCUGUCUGUUUCUCUCCCCCUACACCUCUCUCUCAACUUCUAUUUCCGUCUCUCUGUCUGUCUGUCUGUCUCUUUCUCUCUCUCUCUCUCUCCCUCUCCAUCUAUCUCCCUCUGUCCGUCUGUCUGUCUGUCUGUCUGUCUCUGCCUUUGUUUUUCUCUCUCUCUUUCGUUCGUAUACAUGGUAGUGAAAGAUAACACCAAGCUUGAUUUAUCGUUCAAUUUUCAUAGACGGGUUUGAUGAUGUGGAUUGUUACCGGAAAAAUGGGGGUGCAAAUGAGGCGGUGGUAAGGAGGGACAACAAGUCUGCAAUUGCCCUGACAGAACUGAUAAAGACAGGGACUACUCCAGAGGACACUAUUAACAAACCAGCAGUGCCACAGCCAACCGAGACGGACCCACAUUCUGUUGUGGAACCACUGAGAGAGCAGACGGGCACAGACGAGUCCGCUGAAGUCAUGGACAACGUGGACACAGGGUUCACAAGAUAUUGGUCAUUUCCUGCACGAGAGGGCAUAUGAAGAAAAACAUUCGGACAGUGUGAGAAAUCUGGUAUUAAAAUAAGGUUGGAGCUGGAAUUCUUGGACUCUGGGAUGUCAGUAGGUUUUGGUGAACACAGCAUGCAUCGCAUUAUGAAACUAUUCUUUUUGACAUCUUGGAGUGAAAACAUAGACUGAACUUGAGGUCAUGGCUGAUCUUCCUCCGUUAAUUCGCACACGUCUUCCUCUGCUUCAGCUUCAUCAUCUUCCUCUGGACGGGGUAAACAUAAGCAGGAGAUCCGUAACAGACUCUCGCGAAGCAGCCUCUCCAAAGUCUCGCGAGACUUGCGAACAAGCCAUAUAAACUAAUUAUCUUAAAAAUCUCAUAUUAAUUAUUAACAUUUGACAGUAACGAAGGAACGCCGCCAAAUGUAGCGAAGUAAAAGUAAAACUUUUUCACUAAAAUGUACUUGAGUAAAAGCAAAAGUACACAUCUUUAAAUAUACUCUAAAAGUACAAGUUACCCAAAAAACUUACUCCAGUAAAUAUAACGAAGUAAAUGUAAUUCGUUAACCACCGCUGACUAUGUCUAACUACAUAAAACUAUGUGGAACUGUGGAACUACAUGGAACUAUGUGUACCUACAUGGAACAAUGUAGAACUGUGGAACUACAUGGAA